Molecule: long non-coding RNA, 845 nt
Filed under: Gallus gallus (chicken)
Lineage: Eukaryota; Metazoa; Chordata; Aves; Galliformes; Phasianidae
Source: RNAcentral
GCUAAGAUUGCACAACACGGGCUAAGAGGUACAGCUACUGCCUAGGACACACGGACAUAGAAAGCCAUGCUCAGUUAGUUUGACUUGAGGAAAACAUUUCCAGGCUCUGACAUGGUCUUAUGGGGAUGAUGACAUGCUACAAGUUGUACUGUGAACCAGCAACUAGCUGUGUUUUCUGAAUCAAACCAUACAUCUUCAAAAAGCCUUUUGCUGUUAUUUGGAGAGACUGUUUACUUUGUCUAAAGGAGUAAUGCAUAGUUUUCUGCUGAAGCCCUAUCAACAACAUCUACUGUACAUUCUCCUUCUCUUAUCUGCCAAAGGAGUCAAAUUGAUUACCUAAAUAUAAGUCAAGUUACUUUUUGAGCAUUUACAAAGGAGUAAGAACUCAAACUCUGUGUGAAAACAGAUUGCUCCAUCUUUCUCUACCUAGAAUAGAGUGGAAGGCAUGUGGUUGCACGCUUAUGACCAAAUGCAAUAAAAGUUUAACUAGAAAGAAAUAUUGACCCACACAAGGACAGGACAAGCCAAAGUAUUUGAAAAAGCAUUACUGAAAUGUUUGCACUUUGUACAUACACUUUGUAAGUCUUUAAGCAAACAUCCGUGUCCAUUUUUUUCUGCUCCUCAGCAUAACAAAAUUUAAAGCAGAAGCCAGAGGCACAGCCUUACUCCGGGAGCAAAAUCCUCUUAUUUAAUCCUGCAGUGCUUACUACAGCAUGUAUGUAAUAGCACAAGCAUGGAGGAAAAAGAACAUGAGUACAGAGAUUCCGCCACAUUUUCUUGGAGCAAUUGUGUGACAGUCAAAUCAAAGGACCAAAGGCCUAUGGAAGAAAAACACUCAGUUAUGC